RNAcentral lists this ribosomal RNA (374 nucleotides) under uncultured bacterium. Its description in RNAcentral is "bacterial SSU rRNA". It matches the Rfam family "Bacterial small subunit ribosomal RNA", at positions 527 to 896 of the family's 1533-position model. The record is from RNAcentral.
GUAGGGUGCGAGCGUUAAUCGGAAUUACUGGGCGUAAAGCGUGCGCAGGCGGUUUUGUAAGACAGAUGUGAAAUCCCCGGGCUUAACCUGGGAACUGCAUUUGUGACUGCAAGGCUAUGAGUACGGCAGAGGGAGGUAGAAUUCCACGUGUAGCAGGUGAAAUGCUGUAGAUAUGUGGAGGAAUACCGAUGGCGAAGGCAGCCCCCUGGGUCGAUACUGACGCUCAUGCACGAAAGCGUGGGGAGCAAACAGGAUUAGAUACCCUGGUAGUCCACGCCCUAAACGAUGUCACCUAGGUGUUGGGGGAGGAGACUUCCUUAGUACCGCAGCUAACGCGUGAAGUUGACCGCCUGGGGAGUACGGCCGCAAGGUUG